UCUCCCGAGUGCUCAGCAUCACCGGUUCCAUCCACUCAGCCGCAGCUCACAGAAGGAUCGCAUUUCAUGUGUGUGUAGUCUCCGGAAAACUCUGCUGACUGACUUCCGGUGAAACCAUUCACACCGAAGGACAUGACCUCCGGCAAUGUGAGAAGAUAUUGUACAGUAUAUUUUAAAUCUAUGAAAUUCAUAGUUCUGAUGCUUUUGGUCACAGAGCAUCCUUUUAUCACUUCUGGAAAAUGUUUAUUCCAAAACAGCUUUAAUGGCCCAUAUGUACACUCCGUAAUCUCAAGGUUAUUCUUCUGACACCAGCUUGCUGCUAUGAUUUCAGAGCACAUAAGUAAAGGUGCUUUUUCCUGUGCAGUCUACAGCGAGAGCUUACAUAAUUGCUCAUCUCCAGAUUUUGAUGUUUCGAAAGCCUCAGUGGAAUUAUAUUUCUUUUUGCUCUUUAGUACAUCAAUUUAGUUAUUUCCAAUGAAACUUCUUUUCCUUUUUUUUUUCUUUUUUUUUUUUGUUGUUGUUGUUGCUGUUGUUCCCAUUUUGGCUACUGCAGUGCUUUGUUUCAUACUUGAUUUGUAAAAAUUUUAUAUAUAUAUAUAUAUAUAUAUUUAAAAUGUGCCAUUUUAUUAUUGCUAAGUGAAGUAUGUCCUGUUUUCUGCUAUAAUUAUUUUUCCGUCAGAUUGCAAUGUCAGCAGUUACUGCCACCCUCUUGUCAGCUUAAACACAAAUGUUACCGCUUACUUCUUGAAAAACAAUUUAAAAUGUAGGUAUUUUGAAGUAUACUGGGCUUAUACUUCAUUGGAAUAGAUGUGUACAGCAAUAAGCAGGUUUUCAAACCCAGUACUUAGUUUGUGUACAAAUGUAAUUAUGUUCAUUGUGUAUAUAUUAUACAAUGAGCACAUGUAAUGUAUUAAAGGCUACUUACUAUUGUUUAAAUGCAAAUGUUCAUAUCUCAUUUCUUUUUUAUCAUGUUAAAUAAAUGUUGAUGUUCUUAAAUCA
Molecule: long non-coding RNA, 999 nt
Organism: Hipposideros armiger (great roundleaf bat)
Lineage: Eukaryota; Metazoa; Chordata; Mammalia; Chiroptera; Hipposideridae
Exons: 2
Source: RefSeq, a predicted model, not a curated record